This 2365-nucleotide long non-coding RNA is filed under the name Lactuca sativa (garden lettuce). RNAcentral's name for it is "long non-coding RNA (LSAT_LNC006280)". Lineage: Eukaryota; Viridiplantae; Streptophyta; Magnoliopsida; Asterales; Asteraceae. The record is from RNAcentral.
GGGUACAGUGAUGCUAGUUUUCAGACGGAUCGGGAUAACUUCCGAUCGCAGUCGGGCUGGGUCUUUACCCUAAAUGGAGGAGCAGUGACUUGGAAAAGUUCCAAGCAAGAGACCGUAGCUGAUUCAACGUGCGAAUCAGAGUAUAUUGCGGCGAGCGAAGCGUCAAAGGAGGCUAUAUGGUUGAAGAACUUCAUUGGAGACCUUGGAGUUGUGCCAUCCAUAAAGGAGCCCGUGGAAAUUUUCUGUGAUAAUGAAGGAGCGGUUGCCUUAACCAAGGAACCAAGGGAUCAUGGCAGAUCUCGACAUAUCGACAGGAAAUACCACUUUAUUAGACAUCGGGUAGAAGAGGGACUCCUCGUUGUGAAGAGGGUAUCGUCAGAAGAUAACCCAGCAGAUCCCCUUACGAAGGGACUGAGUAGGGUCAAGCAUUUGCAGCACGCUAGGAGCGUAGGGCUGAAGGACGAUAUUAGUUUAGAUUAGAUAGGUAGGAAACUUGUAAUAGAUAAUGUCAUAUUCAACAAAUGAUGAUUAAAUAAAGGUGUGUUAUUUAUAAGAAAGUUUCUAUCUUGUGUUGAUUAUUUAUCUAUUGUGUCGAUUUUGCAUGUUUUGACUUCCUGAAUAAUAAGAUUAUUCGAACAGUUCACAAUCGCUCAUAUGUUGGAAGUAGAUAUGAAGGAAGAUUGUCAUAAAUUUGUUUGUAGAUUGUCUGAAAAGUUUUAGACAUAGCAAAGGUUUGCUGCAAAGUUUAUGAGUGCUUAUGAAAUUUGUAUUGAGCAUUGAAAUAGACCCACACUUGCUGGUAUUACUUCAUGAAUGUUAUCACAAGUGAUCGCAAGAUGAUAAUAUCAUAUAAUCUUUAAACCUAGAGAUAUGGUUAUUGUUUGCUAGUUGAUUAUACAUUGAUAAUGCGAAAACGCAUCAGUAACUUGAUGUUAUAAAACGUAUUAUUGUGUGUGGUUUAACUAGUAAAUGAUAAAGGCAUAUUAGUCGACGUUUUUCUGUUCCUUUUAUUCUAUGAUGAUAAAAGCGAUAUCUUGGCCACUUGAUUUGAUUGACUUAUGUGUCGGGGCCGGUCAGGAUAAAGUUGAUGUGUUCAACUGAGUUCUGUGUCGAACAAAUCAGAGAUCAAGAAAUAAAGUGCUAAACAAUAAGUAUUGUUAGCAUGAUAUCUAGAACAGAGGAUUAUGUGAUCCCUUAUCUAAAGGACAGAUUAUUGGUCAGGGUUGACAGCGGCUAUUGAAAGCUACGAUUGCUAUCGGGUACGGAAGUCAUACGUGAGAUAUAGUUACUAGACUUAUCCAAGUGGGAGACUGUUGGAUUAGUGUCUAAGUUAGUAACCAUAUUUGGUAUAUACUUGACCCGAGUGUGCAUGGUCCUUUUGGGUUGCCUUCACCAAAGCAACUUGACAAGGUAAUUUGAUAUGAGAGAGGAGAUAUUAUGAUUUAUUUAUAUAUUAUAAGAAUAAUAUAUUAANUUUUCUGUUCCUUUUAUUCUAUGAGGAUAAAAGCGAUAUCUCGGCCACUUGAUGAUUUGGUUUGACUUAUGUGCCGGGCCCGGUCAGGAUAAAGUUGAUGUGUUCAACUGAGUUCUAUGUCGAACAAAUCAGAGAUCAAGAAAUAAAAUGCUAGACAAUAAGUAUUGUUAGCAUGAUAUCUAGAACAGAGGAUUAUACGAUCCCUUAUCUAAAGGACAGAUUAUUGGUCAGGGUUGACAGCGGCUAUUGAAAGCUACGAUUGCUAUCGGGUACGGAAGUUAUACGUGAGAUAUAGUUACUAGACUUAUCCAAGUGGGAGACUGUUGGAUUAGUGUCUAAGUUAGUAACCAUAUUUGGUAUAUACUUGACCCGAGUGUGCAUGGUCCUUUUGGGUUGCCUUCACCAAAGCAACUUGACAAGGUAAUUUGAUAUGAGAGAGGAGAUAUUAUGAUUUAUUUAUAUAUUAUAAGAAUAAUAUAUUAAAGGAGAAAUCAUAUUUAUUUAAUUAGUAUUAGUCAUAAAUUAAUUAGGAAUUAAUUUGGUGACUAAAAGAGAUUAAUUAAAUAAAGGGGUAUAAACUGUCAAAUGUGUGAUAGUUGAGUUUUGGGCUAGGAAACCUAAUGGACUAAGGGGAACGAAAUUAUGAUGAAGGAUCAUCAUAUUUUCGUCCAAGGCCUCAUUCCAUAAGGUUCCUUGGGCUGCUUGGUGGCUAAGCUGUCCAUUAGGGUUUAGACUAAAAACCCUAGCACCCUAUAGUAUAAAUACAUGCCCUAUGCUUCAAUUUAAGGCCACUUGAUUCCAAGGGAACCCUAGGGCCGAAAUUAGCAUCAUUCCCUUCUCUCUCUUAGUUGCCUUCUUGCUUCAAGGUGUUUGUGAGCCAUUAGAGGCACU